GGCCAGCUAGCUCAGUUGGUUAGAGCGUGGUGCUAAUAACACCAAGGUCAUGGGUUCAAGCCCUAUGCUGGUCA
Molecule: transfer RNA, 74 nt
Filed under: Pelodiscus sinensis (Chinese soft-shelled turtle)
Lineage: Eukaryota; Metazoa; Chordata; Testudines; Trionychidae
Rfam family: tRNA
About the family: Transfer RNA (tRNA) molecules are approximately 80 nucleotides in length. Their secondary structure includes four short double-helical elements and three loops (D, anti-codon, and T loops).
Source: Rfam by way of RNAcentral